GUCUAUGGCCAUGCUACCCUGAACAAGCCUCAUGCUGUCCUAUCUCGGAAGCUAAGCAGGGUCGGGCCUGGUUUGUACUUGGAUGGGUGACCACCUAGGAAGACCAGGUGCUGUAGGCA
Non-coding RNA from Pteropus alecto (black flying fox), 119 nucleotides. NCBI's taxonomy places the organism in Eukaryota, Metazoa, Chordata, Mammalia, Chiroptera, Pteropodidae. The record is from Rfam.